Pygocentrus nattereri (red-bellied piranha) is the source of this 2554-nucleotide long non-coding RNA. RefSeq lists it as uncharacterized. The record is from RefSeq and is a predicted model, not a curated record. NCBI's taxonomy places the organism in Eukaryota, Metazoa, Chordata, Actinopteri, Characiformes, Serrasalmidae. The transcript is spliced from 2 exons.
GGCGGGGCUUGUCGGUAAACGGCUGGAGGUAAACAAAUUGACCCUUUCACCUGUUUGGCGCACAGACAGCGACCGAGAGCAGCGCGGAGAGGAGCCAGCACAUCCGAACAGCAGGUGGUGUAUAGAAAAGGUGCCAGGGCUUUGUGCAGAUACACCUGUGGGCUGAAAGGAUGGAAGAAGGUGAUCCAUGGCUGGAGAUGGAAGCUCCGGCUCCACGCGGCUACUGGCUGAAGCGAAAGCUGCGGCUUUACUUCGGGCCCCGACAAGCUACAAAAGACUCUGAUCAAGAGGACCACAGUGGCCACGACAUAUUUUGGACCAGAAAGCGGCUCGUGGUGGCUCUUCUCAUCAUCCUGGCCCUGGUUAUCAUGGGCCUUCUCCUUCUCUGGAACUACCAGUGCAUUGUAGUCUGGCACAUGUGCCAUGCACCUGAAGAAUACCCAGUCCUCGGCACCUUCAGAGCUGGAUGAGGUGCACUGAGAACACUGGAAAUGUGAACGAGUCGUGUAACGCUCACGUAUUCCUAACGCUUGUAGGCUGAAUGAAGGCAUAUGCAUGUUUAGUGUUUGUUGUUCUAGACGCCAUGGAACUCUCGUGAAGGAUCAACGUGUUGCUUGACGUUAACGCUUGAAAGUAGUGCUGGGCGAUACUGAUAAAAUCCGACAUUGUGAUAUUUUCAGAUGAUAUUUUAGAUUGCAUUAAUAAAGUCAAUAAGUUAGCAUUAAUGAAGAAACCUGAGCUGGAGCAGAGCAUAUUUCCACACUGGUAGGUGGGGGUGAACCACGAUGUUAGUGGUUAAUAUUAUUUUCCCCACCAGCUGCUACACGGAGAUGUAAUCAGAACUUUUAGGGACGUUUUAAAGCCCAUGUGUCAAACUCAAGGCCUCAGACUCAAAGACAGUCCUAUUUCCGCCCACAAACUUAUUUUAAUUUCCUAUUAUUAUCAGCCCGUUUCGCCCUGAGAUGCACUACAGUCCCCAGCAUGCACUGCAACGUAGUGUGCGUUCUGACUGCCUUCCCCCAACAAGAGUCUGUAGGCCAGGUGUUACAUAAAAAAGAUGCCUGGUGUUCUAGUUCAAGCAAAUAGGCCGUUUAAAAAUAUAUAUAUAUAUAUAUAUUUUUUAUUUCUAAUUAUUUUUAAUAAGUAUGCAAUGCCUAUUUUGCUAUUGUAGUUUUGGCAUAUUUGAAUAAACAAUGUCAUGUUCAGGUCAUGGUAACAUGUUAAGGAAAAAUAAAAACACAGCUGGCCCACAGAUUUGCUGAGAUUUUUAAAAUUUUAAUUAAAUCUUUUAGUGGUUGAAUUUGACACCCCUGUUUUAGAGGCAGGCAGAAGUCAGUAGACUUUGCUUAAGGAUUACAUAAUGACAAUUUUGUCUAUUAAAUAGUAUAAUGAUUUAAGUCAACUUAAUAUUCUUUUACUUUAUGUCCCUGGUCAUAUUAAGCACAAUGUAUUGUAUUAUAUGUCACAGCACAGACAGGAAAAUGCUUCAAUAUACUCAGAGAUAUGAACUAACAAGGUAAAAAAAGGUUGGUUUUGACUUCAGAUGGACUUUAAAAAUGAUGCCAAAUGUUAACCAGACAAGCACAUUUCCAGAAAAGAAAAAGCAGUUGGUAAAAGUGAACGAAGUAGCCUUUCUGAGUCCGGAGGAAAAAACAAAAGUAUGGUUUCCAUACCCUUAUUAAUAAUUUAAAAGUCAGAACGGAUUUAGCGGGAAUUCUUUGGACUGCAUUAUAAGUCUUGGCGUAUUAAUGUCACAUGCACAGGCUCAAAAAGAAGGUCCAGCUCCAUGUUUAGGUCUCAAAUGCAUCCUCAGAAACUACGUCCUUCACUAAGUUAUGACAGUUUGAAUUAUUUCACAAUCAUCAGAUUUAUGCAAAAUGUGAUGCUGUGUUGCAAGCAAUUACAUAUUUCCACCACAGAGGUCGCCAAAUCCCCUAAACGUCCAUAGUGCAGCUUUAAUUUCGAACUGCUCUGGAUUCCAUGAGUAAAAUACACAAAAUGGAUUUUAAAAAAUUCAACUUACUAACAUAGACAUUAGCUUUUAUGGCCACUGUAUCAUAGAUAUAUAAAUAACAUAUAAUACUUAUUAUCUAUCAAAUAUGUCACUAAAAUAUCACUCAAAAACGUCAGUCAGUAUCACAGCAAAUCGGUAUAGAUGGUCACCCAGCACUGCUUGAAAAAAAUGUAUGAUGCUGCUUACCUUUUUAUUUAAAAUGCUGAAGUCAAGUCAUUUAAGACAGCAUUUGACUGGAGUGCAACUAGUUGUUAAAAUGCCAAUAAGUCACUCAUUUUGGUUACUGAUGUGUAGGCCAUACUGAACACCCAUUAAUCGAAAUGCUCCUCAGGUUUGCCUUUACCAUGUGCCUUGUAUUAAAACUAGGAAAUAUAUUUAUGUACUGAAGCAUUAUAUUUAUAUAUCUGUGAGUAUCUUUGUAUUGUAAACAUAAAAAAGUGCAAUAAAAAGGAUAGAUUUAAAAAAUAAAUCAAUUUGAAGGUGAUCAUUGAUGUAAUGAAGUGUAAUGUAAUGAAUAAAUGAACUUAAAUGGCCUUUUAA